AAGUCGUAACAAGGUUUCCGUAGGUGAACCUGCGGAAGGAUCAUUACCUUUCAUUGCAGCAGAAUUGGGAUGGUUGAGUAUCUCGCCUCUCCGUUCUGCCUGUAUUCUACCCUUGUUUGUCAUAUACUAUUAUUUCCUCGGCAGGCUUGCCUGCCGAGUGAAACCAUUUAUAACCUUUUUAAUUUUCAAUCAGCGUCUGAAAAAAUUAAUAAUUACAACUUUCAACAACGGAUCUCUUGGUUCUG
RNAcentral lists this unclassified non-coding RNA (245 nucleotides) under Paraphoma chrysanthemicola. RNAcentral's name for it is "partial internal transcribed spacer region". The stretch from base 1 to 46 matches the Rfam family "Eukaryotic small subunit ribosomal RNA", at positions 1786 to 1831 of the family's 1831-position model. Lineage: Eukaryota; Fungi; Ascomycota; Dothideomycetes; Pleosporales; Phaeosphaeriaceae. The record is from RNAcentral.